UGGCAAUGAGGACAACAAUCUUACAAUGAUUAUGUAUGAAUUACAUACCAUACGCUAUUCUGAGCUUUUA
Molecule: small nucleolar RNA, 70 nt
Organism: Trichomycterus rosablanca
Lineage: Eukaryota; Metazoa; Chordata; Actinopteri; Siluriformes; Trichomycteridae
Product: small nucleolar RNA U54
Exons: 1
Source: RefSeq, a predicted model, not a curated record